This 214-nucleotide long non-coding RNA is filed under the name Gossypium barbadense (sea-island cotton). RNAcentral describes it as "long non-coding RNA (GBAR_LNC015692)". Lineage: Eukaryota; Viridiplantae; Streptophyta; Magnoliopsida; Malvales; Malvaceae. The record is from RNAcentral.
UCCCUAACGCUAGAGUCAAAGAAAAGCUUUAAUAAGAAGAACACUUAAGAAAACUCUACCCAAUUUAAAAAAAAAACAAAAAUCGGAAACGUUUUGUGUCUUAAGAUUUUCAAAAAUUAAAGCUUUAAUUUAUACUUGAGUCAAGAAAAGAAGAAGGAAAAGAAAUUCAAUUUUGGGAAAAAUAAAAAAAUAAAAAAAAUAACAAUAAUAGGAA